Molecule: ribosomal RNA, 367 nt
Filed under: uncultured Glomeraceae
Lineage: Eukaryota; Fungi; Glomeromycota; Glomeromycetes; Glomerales; Glomeraceae
Description: partial large subunit ribosomal RNA
Source: RNAcentral
CAGUCAUACCAACGGGAAAUCAACCUUUUGAGCUCGGUCUCGUGGGUUUUGAAGAGUUUCAAAGCCUUCGGAUUCGCGGGAUUGGGAUCUCUCGGUGUACUUUCUCGUACGGUUAGUCAACAUCGGUUUUGAAUGUCAUUAAAUGACUGGAGGAAUGUAGCUUCGAUCUCGUAUUGAAGUGUUAUAGCCUUUGGUAGAUGUGAUGUUUGAGACCGAGGAUUGCAACGGAUACCCUUCAGGGCUAUUCGUCUGAUCUCUGAUACGUUGCCCUGAUGUUGAAAGCUUGCUUAUGAUGUUAGGGUAUUACGGUCAAAAGGUUAGAACGAAUUACAUUCGUUAAGGAUGUUGACGUAAUGACUUUAAACGA